CAUGGAGGGUGAGAAUCCCGUUCAUGGUUUAAUUCAAGGUACUAUACGAUACGUUUUCCAAGAGUCGAGUUGUUUGGGAUUGCAGCUCAAAAUGGGAGGUAAAUUUCUCCUAAAGCUAAAUAUUGGCGAGAGACCGAUAGCGAACAAGUACCGUGAGGGAAAGAUGAAAAGAACUUUGAAAAGAGAGUUAAACAGUACGUGAAAUUGUUGAAAGGGAAACGAUUGAAGUCAGUCAUACCAACGGGAAAUCAACCUUUUGAGCUCGGUCUCGUGGGUUUUGAAGAGUUUCAAAGCCUUCGGAUUCGCGGGAUUGGGAUCUCUUGGCGUACUUUUUCGUACGGUUAGUCAACAUCGGUUUUGAAUGUCAUAAAAUGACUGGAGGAAUGUAGCUUCGAUCUCGUAUUGAAGUGUUAUAGCCUUUGGUAGAUGUGAUGUUUGAGACCGAGGAUUGCAACGGAUACCCUUCAGGGCUAUUCGUCUGAUCUCUGAUACGUUGCCUUGAUGUUGAAAACUUGCUUAUGAUGUUAGGGUAUUACGGUCAAAAGGUUAGAACGAAUUACAUUCGUUAAGGAUGUUGACGUA
This 582-nucleotide ribosomal RNA is filed under the name uncultured Glomus. RNAcentral's name for it is "eukaryotic LSU rRNA". It matches the Rfam family "Eukaryotic large subunit ribosomal RNA", at positions 204 to 633 of the family's 3401-position model. The record is from RNAcentral. Lineage: Eukaryota; Fungi; Glomeromycota; Glomeromycetes; Glomerales; Glomeraceae.